GAUGAACGCUGGCGGCGUGCCUAAUACAUGCAAGUCGAGCGAACAGAUGAGGAGCUUGCUCCUCUGACGUUAGCGGCGGACGGGUGAGUAACACGUGGAUAACCUACCUCUAAGACUGGGAUAACUUCGGGAAACCGGAGCUAAUACCGGAUAAUAUAUUGAACCGCAUGGUUCAAUAGUGAAAGACGGUUUUGCUGUCACUUAUAGAUGGAUCCGCGCCGCAUUAGCUAGUUGGUAAGGUAACGGCUUACCAAGGCAACGAUGCGUAGCCGACCUGAGAGGGUGAUCGGCCACACUGGAACUGAGACACGGUCCAGACUCCUACGGGAGGCAGCAAUAGGGAAUCUUCCGCAAUGGGCGAAAGCCUGACGGAGCAACGCCGCGUGAGUGAUGAAGGUCUUCGGAUCGUAAAACUCUGUUAUUAGGGAAGAACAAAUGUGUAAGUAACUAUGCACGUCUUGACGGUACCUAAUCAGAAAGCCACGGCUAACUACGUG
RNAcentral lists this ribosomal RNA (497 nucleotides) under uncultured bacterium. Its description in RNAcentral is "partial 16S ribosomal RNA". It matches the Rfam family "Bacterial small subunit ribosomal RNA", at positions 28 to 507 of the family's 1533-position model. The record is from RNAcentral.